GCGCCCGUGGCUCAACUGGAUAGAGCGUCGGACUUCGGAUCCGAUGGUUGGGGGUUCGAAUCCCUCCGGGCGCACCA
RNAcentral lists this transfer RNA (77 nucleotides) under Thermotogota bacterium. RNAcentral describes it as "Thermotogae bacterium tRNA-Arg". It matches the Rfam family "tRNA". Rfam says of the family: Transfer RNA (tRNA) molecules are approximately 80 nucleotides in length. Their secondary structure includes four short double-helical elements and three loops (D, anti-codon, and T loops). Further hydrogen bonds mediate the characteristic L-shaped molecular structure. tRNAs have two regions of fundamental functional importance: the anti-codon, which is responsible for specific mRNA codon recognition, and the 3' end, to which the tRNAs corresponding amino acid is attached (by aminoacyl-tRNA synthetases). tRNAs cope with the degeneracy of the genetic code in two manners: having more than one tRNA (with a specific anti-codon) for a particular amino acid; and 'wobble' base-pairing, i.e. permitting non-standard base-pairing at the 3rd anti-codon position. Lineage: Bacteria; Thermotogati; Thermotogota. The record is from RNAcentral. RNAcentral also lists the same sequence under 2 other names.